GGCACGCCUAAUACAUGCAAGUCGAACGAGAAAGCACUUCGGUGUGAGUACAGUGGCGGACGGGUGAGUAACGCGUAGGAAUCUACCUAGUAGUGGGGGACAACUCGGGGAAACUCGAGCUAAUACCGCAUACGCUCUAAGGAGGAAAGUGGGGGACCUUUGGGCCUCACGCUAUCAGAGGAGCCUGCGUUAGAUUAGCUAGUUGGUGAGGUAAAGGCUCACCAAGGCUACGAUCUAUAGCUGGUCUGAGAGGACGAUCAGCCACACUGGAACUGAGACACGGUCCAGACUCCUACGGGAGGCAGCAGUAGGGAAUCUUGGGCAAUGGGCGAAAGCCUGACCCAGCGAUGCCGCGUGUGCGAAGAAGGCCUUAGGGUUGUAAAGCACUUUCAGUUGCGAAGAAAAGCUGCGAUCUAAUACAUCGCGGUCUUGACGUUAACAACAGAAGAAGUACCGGCUAACUCCGUGCCAGCAGCCGCGGUAAUACGGAGGGUACGAACGUUAAUCGGAAUUACUGGGCGUAAAGCGCGCGUAGGCGGUUUGAUAAGUGGGAUGUGAAAGCCCCGGGCUCAACCUGGGAACUGCAUUCCAAACUGUCAGACUAGAGUGUGGUAGAGGGAGGUAGAAUUUCCUGUGUAGCGGUGAAAUGCGUAGAUAUAGGAAGGAAUACCGAUGGCGAAGGCAGCCUCCUGGACCAACACUGACGCUGAGGUGCGAAAGCGUGGGGAGCAAACAGGAUUAGAUACCCUGGUAGUCCACGCCGUAAACGAUGAGAACUAGCCGUUGGGGCCUUUAAGGCUUUGGUGGCGCAGCUAACGCGAUAAGUUCUCCGC
Molecule: ribosomal RNA, 833 nt
Filed under: uncultured Gammaproteobacteria bacterium
Lineage: Bacteria; Pseudomonadati; Pseudomonadota; Gammaproteobacteria
Description: bacterial SSU rRNA
Rfam family: Bacterial small subunit ribosomal RNA
Source: RNAcentral